Molecule: ribosomal RNA, 497 nt
Filed under: uncultured bacterium
Lineage: Bacteria
Description: partial 16S ribosomal RNA
Rfam family: Bacterial small subunit ribosomal RNA
Source: RNAcentral
GAUGAACGCUGGCGGCGUGCCUAAUACAUGCAAGUCGAGCGAACAGACGAGGAGCUUGCUCCUCUGACGUUAGCGGCGGACGGGUGAGUAACACGUGGAUAACCUACCUAUCAGACUGGGAUACCUUCGGGAAACCGGAGCUACUACCGGAAAAUAUAUCGAACCGCAUGGUUCAAUAGUGAAAGACGGUUUUGCUUUCACUUAUAGAUUGAUCCGCGCCGCAUCAGCUAGUUGGCAAGGUAACGGCUUACCAAGGCAACGAUGCGUAGCCGACCUGAGCGGGUGAUCGGCCACACUGGAACUGAGACACGGUCCAGACUCCUACGGGAAGCAGCAGCAGAGAAUCUUACGCGAUGGGCGAAAGCCUGACGGAGCAACGCCGCGUGAGUGAUGAAGGUCUUCGGAUCGUAAAACUCUGAUAUCAGUGAAGAACAAAUGUGUAAGUAACUAUGCACGUAUUGACGGUACCUAAUCAGAAAGCCACGGCUAACUCCGUG